RNAcentral lists this ribosomal RNA (497 nucleotides) under uncultured bacterium. Its description in RNAcentral is "partial 16S ribosomal RNA". It matches the Rfam family "Bacterial small subunit ribosomal RNA", at positions 28 to 507 of the family's 1533-position model. The record is from RNAcentral.
GAUGAACGCUGGCGGCGUGUCUAAUACAUGCAAGUCGAGCGAACGGACGAUAAUCUUGCUUCUCUGAUGUUAGCGGCGGACGGGUGAGUAAAAUGUGGAUAACCUACCUAUAAGACUGGUAUAACUUCGGGAAACCGGCGCUAAUACCGUAUGAUAUUUUGAACCGCAUUGGUCAAAAGUAAAAGACGGUCUUUCGGGCAGGUAUAGAUGGAUCCGCGCUGCAUUAGCUAGUUGGUAAGGUAACGGCUUACCAAGGCAACGAUGCAUAGCCGACCUGAGAGGGUGAUCGGCCACACUGGAGCUGGGACACGGUCAAGACUCCUACGGGACGCAGCAGUAGGGAAUCUUCCGCAAUGGGCGAGAGCAUGACGGAGCAACGCCGCGUGAGUGAUGAAGGUCUUCGGAUCGUAAAACUCUGUUAUUAGGGAAGAACAUAUGUGUACGUAACUGUGCACAUCUUGACGGUACCUAAUCAGAAAGCCACGGCUAACUACGUG